This 1000-nucleotide long non-coding RNA is filed under the name Equus caballus (horse). RNAcentral's name for it is "lncRNA (ENSECAG00000048292.1)". The record is from RNAcentral. Lineage: Eukaryota; Metazoa; Chordata; Mammalia; Perissodactyla; Equidae.
GUUCAAGGUAACAUGCCAUUACAUAACAAGUUCAAGGCAAAUUUUGAUGCUUGGGGCCAGAGCCCUUUGAAAGGGUUUUGCUGCAAGUGUGCAAGUUUCUUGUGCACGAUGGCAACAUCCACGAAAUGGGGACAUCAACUUCUGAAAAACAGAACAUUUAGUUUCUCCCUGUCUGGAAAACAUUUGACAGGCCAUGUUAGCUAUUGAUCAGAUUCUCAGUAACCUUUCCUUGCCUGGUUCCCUGGUCACAGUAUGAGUUUGGGAGGGUUUUGAAAAGGGGAAUGACAUGAUUGGGUUUACAUCUUUUAGGAUCAUCGUGGCUACUGUGUUGAAAAAUUAUGGAAAAGAACAAAAGCAGAAGAGGGAAACCAGUUACAGGCUAUUGCAGUGGUUCAGGCAGGAGAAGGAGGUGCGUGGAGCCGGGCAGCAGCUAUGCAGAUGGUUCGAAGUAGUCAUAUUCUGGAUAAAUUUUGAAGGCAGAGGUGAUAAGAUUUGCUGAUGAAGUGGAUGUGGCACUCGAGAGAAGCGAAGUACUAAAGAUGACACCUUGAUUCUGGACCAGAGCAACUGGAGGAGUGGUGGUGCCAUUUACUGAGAUGGAAAAAUCUGGAGGAGAAGACAGUUGAGAAGAAAAAGUGCACUGACCCCUGACAUAGGAAGUAAGGGGGAAAUUGGAGGAACAAUGGACUUGAAGAGAUGAUGGGAAUGGAUCCAGGUUACAAGUACCGUACUGGAUUACAAGUACUGUACCAGGUUAUAAGUACUGGCCUUAAGUAGGAGCAGGGACAUUUUCCCUUUGUAACUGGGGUGAAAGCAGGUGGAAUAUACAAACAGUGGGACAUUAGUAAAUCUGGAGGUGGCAUACCAGGUUGUGCUUUUUUGAUUAUUUCUAUUUUCGCCACUUAAAAAAGAAGUGAAGUCGUCUAAUGAGAGUGUGGAGGGGAGAAAAUGUCUGAUAUACAGAUAUGAGAAACAAAGUCCAUAAAACCAAAGGGAAGGG